GCCGAGAUGGUGAAAUUGGUAGACACGCUAUCUUGAGGGGGUAGUGCUAUAAUUGUAGCAUGUGGGUUCAAAUCCCACUCUCGGUA
Molecule: transfer RNA, 86 nt
Filed under: Buchnera aphidicola (Sarucallis kahawaluokalani)
Lineage: Bacteria; Pseudomonadati; Pseudomonadota; Gammaproteobacteria; Enterobacterales; Erwiniaceae
Description: tRNA-Leu
Rfam family: tRNA
About the family: Transfer RNA (tRNA) molecules are approximately 80 nucleotides in length.
Source: RNAcentral